RNAcentral lists this transfer RNA (76 nucleotides) under Pseudomonas sp. RNAcentral describes it as "tRNA-Lys". It matches the Rfam family "tRNA". Rfam says of the family: Transfer RNA (tRNA) molecules are approximately 80 nucleotides in length. Their secondary structure includes four short double-helical elements and three loops (D, anti-codon, and T loops). RNAcentral also lists the same sequence under 146 other names. The record is from RNAcentral. Lineage: Bacteria; Pseudomonadati; Pseudomonadota; Gammaproteobacteria; Pseudomonadales; Pseudomonadaceae.
GGGUCGUUAGCUCAGUUGGUAGAGCAGUUGGCUUUUAACCAAUUGGUCGCUGGUUCGAAUCCAGCACGACCCACCA